GCAAGUCGAACGGCAGCACGAAGAGCUUGCUCUUUGGUGGCGAGUGGCGGACGGGUGAGUAACACUUAGGAAUCUAUCCAGUAGCUGGGGAUAACGUGGGGAAACCCACGCUAAUACCGAAUACGCACUACGGUGGAAAGAGGGGGAUCUUUCGGGACCUCUCACUAUUGGGUGAGCCUAAGCCGGAUUAGCUAGUUGGUGGGGUAAAGGCCUACCAAGGCAACGAUCUUUAGCGGGUCUGAGAGGACGAUC
RNAcentral lists this ribosomal RNA (252 nucleotides) under uncultured bacterium. Its description in RNAcentral is "partial 16S ribosomal RNA". It matches the Rfam family "Bacterial small subunit ribosomal RNA", at positions 57 to 305 of the family's 1533-position model. The record is from RNAcentral.